RNAcentral lists this ribosomal RNA (466 nucleotides) under uncultured Nitrosomonas sp. RNAcentral describes it as "bacterial SSU rRNA". It matches the Rfam family "Bacterial small subunit ribosomal RNA", at positions 198 to 645 of the family's 1533-position model. The record is from RNAcentral. Lineage: Bacteria; Pseudomonadati; Pseudomonadota; Betaproteobacteria; Nitrosomonadales; Nitrosomonadaceae.
GGAGGAAAGUAGGGGAUCGAAAGACCUUAUGCUUUUGGAGCGGCCGAUGUCUGAUUAGCUAGUUGGUAGGGUAAUGGCUUACCAAGGCGACGAUCAGUAGUUGGUCUGAGAGGACGACCAGCCACACUGGGACUGAGACACGGCCCAGACUCCUACGGGAGGCAGCAGUGGGGAAUUUUGGACAAUGGGCGCAAGCCUGAUCCAGCAAUGCCGCGUGAGUGAAGAAGGCCUUCGGGUUGUAAAGCUCUUUCAGUUGAAAAGAAAAAGCCGUGACUAAUAAUCAUGGUUCAUGACGGUAUCAACAGAAGAAGCACCGGCUAACUACGUGCCAGCAGCCGCGGUAAUACGUAGGGUGCAAGCGUUAAUCGGAAUUACUGGGCGUAAAGGGUGCGCAGGCGGUUCUGUAAGUCAGAUGUGAAAUCCCCGGGCUUAACCUGGGAACUGCGUUUGAAACUACAAAGCUAGA